GGACACUAUACAGAUGUAGACUGACAGUUUACUGGUCACCUGCACUAACAGCCUGAGAGAAAAGGACACUGCAUAUCACAGAGAGAUGCAUAGAUGUUACACUCAGAAAGAGAGUGAACAACUAGAAGAUGUGGAAGAAAAUUCCAAGGGCCAAUUUUGAAACAAACCAGGCAGAGACCCAGAUGCAGAAUCCUGCAGGCUGAGGGAUGUUAGGAAGAGUUAGCCCACCACUGCUGCGCUGAAACCAGGAUGACGCAAACUGGGCCUCAGGCCAGGUGUAUUCCUUGGAGUAUAACUGAAGGUUUACUUGGUAAUUCUAUGUUUAACUUUUUUUGGAACUUCUGGACUAUCUUCCAAAGCAACAGUACCAUUGUACAUUUUCACCAGCCACGUAUGACAGUCACACUCUCUCCACAUUCUUGCCAAAACUUGUUAUCAUUUUUCAAAU
RNAcentral lists this long non-coding RNA (448 nucleotides) under Homo sapiens (human). RNAcentral's name for it is "non-protein coding LINC01360:3". The record is from RNAcentral. Lineage: Eukaryota; Metazoa; Chordata; Mammalia; Primates; Hominidae.